RNAcentral lists this long non-coding RNA (318 nucleotides) under Elaeis guineensis (African oil palm). RNAcentral's name for it is "long non-coding RNA (EGUI_LNC028739)". The record is from RNAcentral. Lineage: Eukaryota; Viridiplantae; Streptophyta; Magnoliopsida; Arecales; Arecaceae.
UAACAAGUGAAGGACAUCGAAUGUAAAAGAAGAAGGAAAAAGAUAUAGAUAUCCAUUAAAGGCGGAAAAUAUAAGAUGGGAAAAAAUUAUAAUUAAGCUGGACAAGAUAGUGGCCCACCCGAUGCCUGUGCUGGGGUGGGAAGAUGCGGCAUCUGGUCCUCUAUGAGCUGAAGUAGAGCUGGGGGUAACGUAUUCACCCGACACGGAGUUUCUCCUAUGCGUGGUGGGGAAGGGAUUCGCACUUACUGCUUUCUAUAUCGAACAUUCACUCAGUGGGGUGAGGAUCCUCAUGGUCACGUCCAAAGGGAUUGCUAGGUC